AGAUAUCCAGUUAAAUUUUAGUAUCAGAUAAGUAAUGAAUACUUUUAUAGGAUAAGUAUGUCCUAUACAAUAUUUGGGACAUACUUGUACUAAAACUAAUUUUUGUUUAACUGAAAUUCAAAUUUAACUGGGCACUUUGUA
RNAcentral lists this microRNA precursor (141 nucleotides) under Chlorocebus sabaeus (green monkey). RNAcentral's name for it is "miRNA (ENSCSAG00000023054.1)". The stretch from base 44 to 95 matches the Rfam family "mir-1302 microRNA precursor family". Lineage: Eukaryota; Metazoa; Chordata; Mammalia; Primates; Cercopithecidae. The record is from RNAcentral.